GUAUUGAUGAAGAGUUCCAGACAAGAACGAAACAACUGUCCAGUAC
This 46-nucleotide non-coding RNA is filed under the name Trichobilharzia regenti. Lineage: Eukaryota; Metazoa; Platyhelminthes; Trematoda; Strigeidida; Schistosomatidae. The record is from RNAcentral.